RNAcentral lists this transfer RNA (66 nucleotides) under Piranga rubriceps (red-hooded tanager). RNAcentral's name for it is "tRNA-Ser". The record is from RNAcentral. Lineage: Eukaryota; Metazoa; Chordata; Aves; Passeriformes; Cardinalidae.
GAGGAGAGGUAAAACCAACGAGAACUGCUAACUCUCAUAUCUGAGUAUAAAACCUCAGUCUCCUUA